This 190-nucleotide unclassified non-coding RNA is filed under the name uncultured fungus. RNAcentral's name for it is "sequence contains ITS1". Lineage: Eukaryota; Fungi. The record is from RNAcentral.
UUGACUUAUUUUUUUUAACGAGCUCAGAACGACAGGUAUAGUAUGGAGUAGUAAUCCUCCGGCAGGCGCCUGAGAUAGGCAAUGGUCCCGCCCUGGGACCGCCUGCCGAAGCAACCGGUAGGUAUGUUCACAGUGGGUUUUGGAGUUUUGCAACUCUGUAAUGAUCCCUCCGCUGGUUCACCAACGGAGA